Molecule: non-coding RNA, 32 nt
Filed under: Geobacter sulfurreducens PCA
Lineage: Bacteria; Pseudomonadati; Thermodesulfobacteriota; Desulfuromonadia; Geobacterales; Geobacteraceae
Source: RNAcentral
AUACACAAGAAUGGCCGGAUCGAGAUGCCGAA